RNAcentral lists this microRNA precursor (66 nucleotides) under Mus musculus (house mouse). Its description in RNAcentral is "Mmu-Mir-541_pre stem-loop". It matches the Rfam family "mir-541 microRNA precursor family", at positions 10 to 75 of the family's 84-position model. Lineage: Eukaryota; Metazoa; Chordata; Mammalia; Rodentia; Muridae. The record is from RNAcentral.
AAGGGAUUCUGAUGUUGGUCACACUCCAAGAGUUUUAAAAUGAGUGGCGAACACAGAAUCCAUACU